This 108-nucleotide non-coding RNA is filed under the name Clostridium sp. Its description in RNAcentral is "TPP sequence". It matches the Rfam family "TPP riboswitch aptamer (THI element)". From Rfam's summary of the family: Vitamin B(1) in its active form thiamin pyrophosphate (TPP) is an essential coenzyme that is synthesised by coupling of pyrimidine and thiazole moieties in bacteria. The previously detected thiamin-regulatory element, thi box was extended, resulting in a new, highly conserved RNA secondary structure, the THI element, which is widely distributed in eubacteria and also occurs in some archaea. RNAcentral also lists the same sequence under 1 other name. The record is from RNAcentral. Lineage: Bacteria; Bacillati; Bacillota; Clostridia; Eubacteriales; Clostridiaceae.
UUAAAAACACAGGGGAGCUUGUGGAGCAGGCUGAGAGGAAGUAAUCAAACUUCGACCCUUUAACCUGAUGCGGAUAAUGCCGCCGUAGGAAGUCAAAAGGGAUGAACU